This is a long non-coding RNA of Cercocebus atys (sooty mangabey), 1422 nucleotides long. RefSeq lists it as uncharacterized. The record is from RefSeq and is a predicted model, not a curated record. The transcript is spliced from 2 exons. Lineage: Eukaryota; Metazoa; Chordata; Mammalia; Primates; Cercopithecidae.
CUGGUCUAGAACUCCUGACCUCAAGUGAUCUGCCCACCUUGGCUUCCCAAAGUGCUGGGAUUACAGAUGUGAGCCAGUACACCCAGCUGGAUGCGAGAUUUUAUCAAAUCUUUGUAGAAACAUGUAUUUUUGUUCUUUGGGAUUGAUUAUUCCAGGAUAACCCUAAUCUUUAAUGACACUUGGAUGUGAUCAGACUUUACCAGAUUCGUCAAAGGCUACUGAAUAAAACAAACUAUCUUGAACACUGGUAAUUGUGAAUUGUUUUUGGAGGAACUGUUCUUUCUAACCACAUUUGAUAAAUACAUUAACUAUGUGGUUUUCAAAAUAUCACCUCAAUUCUUUGCACAUGCAAUGUAAUUUUGCAAAUACUAAGCAGGUAGCUAGCGUUAAUGAUUGUAUCAAAUGAUCGCAUUGAAAGUGCCAGACAGCUGCACCACAUUUGUAAGGAGGGACCAUGGGGAGCAUAGCAUUUAGCCUCUGUUGUGCUUCUUAACCAUAAUAGAAUGCAUCACCUCCCAUUAAAGCUAUAUUUAAGAGUUGUGUUCUCCGCAUGUUUAUUUUUCAGGACUAACAAGUUUCUCUUUUGACUCAUUUCUAACAAACGGUGUAGUCAUAUUUUCCACAUAUCCACAAAUAAUGUUAAAACUUGAAAAUUAACAUUUGGAGUUGAUGUUGCUACAAACCUAAAAAGAGAUGCACUUUGUGAUUCACCACCAAUGUGUUAAGCGUCAAAUUCAUCUUCACAUUCAAUUAAUUAACUGUCCCUUUCUUUGUAGGCAAUUUAAACAAAGUAUAAUAAGAUCUACAACUGAAAAAACAAUCUACCUUCAGUUGCAGGUAAUUUUGGGAGGAAUAUAAUUUCAGAGAACAAGAGAGUUCUUGGAAAGUGUGUUUCCACAUUAGAGAUAAAAUAGUUUAGUAAAUUAAACUGGUAGUUAGGAGGGAGGAAUUGUGGAGUUCUGCUGCUCCUUGAUCUUAAGGAGGUCUUUUGACUUAUCCCACAUGUGGACAGGCCAGACACCUCAUAUACCUCUGCCACACAGGAACUAGCCUUGCAGCCAAAGAGUUUCCUUUCUCCCCACACUGUUUGUCCAAAGCUGGUGGAAUAACCUGUUUCUCCUUUAGAUUAGAUAAGAUCAGGCUGAAUAGAGAAAACCAAGAAUGUUUGGGAUUUCACUGCCUCCUUCAAAACUAGAAAGAUGCUUAACAAUCUGCUAAGAUUAAAACAAGUUUCAGGUAUUCUGUUAUAAGCAACAGAAAAUGGACUAAGACAGAAAAAGGUACUGAGAAAGGGGUGUUGCUGAUAUCAAAUUCCUGAAAAUGUGAAAGCAGCUUUGGAACUGAGUAAUGAGCAGAGGCUUGGAAGAAUUUUGAGGAGCAGGCUAGACAAAGCCUAGAUUCUGGUGAAGGCUUGGAAGAAAA